AGUGAACGCUGGCGGUAGGCCUAACACAUGCAAGUCGAACGGCAGCACAGUAAGAGCUUGCUCUUACGGGUGGCGAGUGGCGGACGGGUGAGGAAUACAUCGGAAUCUACUUUUUCGUGGGGGUUAACGUAGGGAAACUUACGCUAAUACCGCAUACGACCUACGGGUGAAAGCAGGGGGUAUUCGGACCUUGCGCGAUUGAAUGAGCCGCUGUCGGAUUAGCUAGUUGGCGGGGUAAAGGCCAACCAAGGCGACGAUCCGUAGCUGGUCUGAGAGGAUGGUCAGCGACAUUAGAACUGGGACACGGUCCAUACGCCUGCGGUAGGCAGCAGUGUGGAAUAGGGGACAAUGGGCGCAAGCCUGAUCCAGCCAUACCGCGUGUGUGAAGAAGGCCUUCGGGGUGUAAAGCCCGUUUGCUGGGAAAGAAAAGCAGCAGGUUAAGACCCCGCUGUUCUGACGGUACCCAAAGAAGAAGCACCGGCUAACUUCGUG
This 492-nucleotide ribosomal RNA is filed under the name uncultured bacterium. RNAcentral describes it as "partial 16S ribosomal RNA". It matches the Rfam family "Bacterial small subunit ribosomal RNA", at positions 29 to 507 of the family's 1533-position model. The record is from RNAcentral.